This 2391-nucleotide long non-coding RNA is filed under the name Calidris pugnax (ruff). Its description in RNAcentral is "lncRNA (ENSCPUG00000015332.1)". Lineage: Eukaryota; Metazoa; Chordata; Aves; Charadriiformes; Scolopacidae. The record is from RNAcentral.
UAUUUAUCCUCUAAGCUUCUCCAAAUGCCCAGAAUCCUGCAGGAUGGAAUACAGAGAGAAGAAAAGAGAUGAGCUAUUUGCUUCUUCAUGGUCAUCUUCUGGAGGCUGCUGUACAUACAAACCACAGCACAGCAUGGAAAGAGAAAGGGAGACAAAACAGUUCACAUCCCAGCAAUUCAUCAUGGCGGAAAAUUCAUCCUGGGAAUCCCAGUCUUCUCCCACUCUCUCUUCCAAGUGAAAAAGGAAGUCUUUUCCUUUUUGAAGAAACCAACCCACGGGGCUUUUGGGACGACACUUCUUUUUCCAACCAUGUUCAAGUAGCAAACAUUUCAAAGGUUACCAUUCAAUGACAGAAAAGGUUGCAUGAGAAAAAGAAGACUUGCAUGGAAAGCACGAGGGUUCUAGCUUCAAGACUCAGUCUGGAAUAGAUUUCUUGGUUAUCCAUGAGUACCCAACUCAUUUACCCAGCACACAGGUCCCACUAAAAUCAGUGCAGAUACUUCUGCUUUGGGGGGAUUUACAACUAUCUUCUGAAUUUUUCAGUGCCUCAAACUAAAGAAUAUGUUACUUUGGAAGAGUGUUAUGAGGCUAAAUUAAUUGUUUGCGCAACAUUUAGCUUGGAAGAAGAUAUAGGUCAGAAACUGAGGGAGUUAGGUACUGCAGCCUUAUAACCUCAUACUUGGUCCCUGCUGGAGUUCCACUCCUGUCUAACACAGCUUUUUUUAUGGACUCUUAAGGCAGCACUAGCACCACUUUUGCAUGGAAAUCUACAAAUUUUAAUUGUUAGACCUCUGUGCCCUGUAUCUCCCUCGUUCUUUCUUCCUUUCUGGCCACAGUGUUACAUUAGAGAUGUCUCUCCUAUAGUAUUUGAAUAUUUGAUGUUUAAACUGUCUUUUUACAUGAAGUAAAGUUACAUGAACCUGAAGAUAAGAAAAGAGGACCGCUGAGGCUUUUUCCAUCUGUAUUUAUCUCCCUAUCUCUAUCUAAUCUCCGCCUCCAUCUCCAUUUCUAUCUCCAUCUUCCUAUAUCUAUAUCAUCUCCACCUGCGAUUCUCUGGCAAAGCCACAAAUCUUCUUUUCUUAGUUUGCUAGUUUGUUAAAUUGGUAUAAGGAAACCACUUGCAUGUAGAUAUGAUGUGAAUAAUGUUUCUUAAGUGCUUUGGGACCCUCAGCUUUGGAUGAGAGAUGACUGCUCUCAUCACCCCCUCUGCCUGUCUGACCAUAGAGAUAUGUGACUUUUUUCAACUUUCUCCAGUGAAAACUCUUAAAUUUUAGCAUCUUUUUUUUUUUUUUUUGGCAUCAUAUCUCACUGCUAUCUUCUCUGCCCUAUUGGCUUCCAUUUCUUUAAUCAUCAGCACCCUAACCCCAAUUUAUUUUUCCUAACAUCUCCUCUGCUGGUGCGUCUGUCUAUUAACACCUCUGCUCUGCCUGCAAAUACAGCUGCAUCAACUCCCAUCUCUUUUACAUCUUAUUACAGCAGCUCUUUCUGAGCUGGCCUCCCCAGGAUGAAGAUUCCUAGAUACAAGUUUUCAUAUACUAUCACUGUCUGAUUUUCUCCUAUGUGCCAAAAAGCUCCACUGCAGCACUCAAUCAACAAACACUCUAUUCAGUUCCAUUACCGUCCCAUGGAGUUGCUUCCGACUUCGUGCCCUUCAUCUCCCUUCCUGCAUCUUUCUUGUGCCCCUUUUUUUCCUACAGCACUGCCCCUUCUCUCCACAAAUAGCAGCACUCUUGGUUUGCCAUUGGAAGCAGACUUCCUGCGGCUCCCUGUCUCAUCAGCUUCUCAUUUCAAGUAAUUUAAAAUGUAAUUUAAAAUCUCUCUAUUUCCUCCAGACUAUUAAUUUCUCUCUCCUUACUCUUCUAUAGAUGUCACUCUGUGUUGCGCUAUUCAGUAAGAUGCGUCUGUUGUAAAAAUCUACCACGGUGUUUUUAUUCCAUAUUCUUGUUUUGUAUUAUCAUUUUUAAUGAUUCUUUGUAGGAAAGAUGAAAUCUCAGCACAGCAUCUAGCCAAAGCACAAGCAGUCACACAGGACAUUCUGGCAUUUGCAUUGCCUUUGUUCCAUUCUUCUCCUGUGGCAUUUAGAACUGUAGAGGGAUUAUUGUGAACGGUCUAAGAGUAUAUAAGUAGGGUAACAGGAAGAGAAUUAUUUCUGGAAAUUGGGAAGUGUGAGGCAGGAAGCCGUGUUUAGUCCUGGUCCUGAUAUGUGCUGCGCGAGCCCUCAUAGGUCUCACUCCUCUUAGACAGAGAUUAAAGAACUCGCCACCCUGCAAACCUGGCCUUCUUUUACUAGCAAUUUCUUUGGGGACAAUGUGCCCCCUGUCGCUGGAGUCACUUGAAACCAAACUUCCCAAAGCUGUAGAAAUAUGUAAUAAACAGUUCUGGAUUGGUUCA